This is a ribosomal RNA of Fukomys damarensis (Damara mole-rat), 136 nucleotides long. The record is from Ensembl. Lineage: Eukaryota; Metazoa; Chordata; Mammalia; Rodentia; Bathyergidae.
GUCUACAGCCAUAACACCCUGAACGCCUCUGGUCUCAUCUGAUCUCAGAAGCUAAGCAGUGUUGGGCCUGGUUAGUACUUGGAUGGGAGAACAUGUGGAAACUUAAAAGAAAUCCAGUUCUUGGCAGUGGUAAUCA